CAAAUAGUUGUCCUUCACUAAAACCACUAAGUCGAUUUGUAGAUUUUUUGGUAUUCAAGGGGACUAGAGAAAUCGGUUUUGCUUUUCCUCUGGUGCGAAGGUUUAAUUGCCGUACUUUACGUCACCAUAAAACAAAACAACAAGCCUACAAU
Small nucleolar RNA from Bradysia coprophila, 152 nucleotides. The record is from RefSeq and is a predicted model, not a curated record. NCBI's taxonomy places the organism in Eukaryota, Metazoa, Arthropoda, Insecta, Diptera, Sciaridae.